Molecule: non-coding RNA, 68 nt
Organism: Arthrobacter agilis
Lineage: Bacteria; Bacillati; Actinomycetota; Actinomycetes; Micrococcales; Micrococcaceae
Source: Rfam
CGCGGUCCUCGGUAGUGGUCUCCGGAACGCCACGACGGCCGUUCCGUGGAUCUCGAUCGAAGACCGGG